Molecule: small RNA, 123 nt
Filed under: Arabidopsis thaliana (thale cress)
Lineage: Eukaryota; Viridiplantae; Streptophyta; Magnoliopsida; Brassicales; Brassicaceae
Description: ATSL016800
Source: RNAcentral
CGGAAUCGAGGUCUAGGAGUGGUAAAUAGGAGAGGAUUGACUCGAGUAUGUCUCCGUCAAUGGAACUUUCUUCUUCUCCGAAAUCUCCUCCAUUGUUGUUGUUCUUCUUCUUCUCCAUUUUUU